Molecule: ribosomal RNA, 280 nt
Filed under: uncultured bacterium
Lineage: Bacteria
Description: partial 16S ribosomal RNA
Rfam family: Bacterial small subunit ribosomal RNA
Source: RNAcentral
UGCCAGCCGCCGCGGUAAUACGGAGGGCGAAAGCGUUGUUCGGAAUUAUUGGGCGUAAAGCGCGUGUAGGCGGCUAGGUAAGUCGGGUGUGAAAUCCCGGGGCUCAACCCCGGAACUGCACUCGAUACUGCCUGGCUAGAGUCCCGGAGAGGAAGGCAGAAUUCCCGGUGUAGAGGUGAAAUUCGUAGAUAUCGGGAGGAAUACCAGUGGCGAAGGCGGCCUUCUGGACGGUGACUGACGCUGAGACGCGCAAGCGUGGGGCGCAAACAGGAUUAGAUAC